RNAcentral lists this transfer RNA (61 nucleotides) under Psorthaspis legata. RNAcentral's name for it is "tRNA-Cys". The record is from RNAcentral. Lineage: Eukaryota; Metazoa; Arthropoda; Insecta; Hymenoptera; Pompilidae.
AAUUCUAUAAUUUAAAUAAAAUAUUAAUUUGCAAAAUUAAAGAUGCAUAAAGCUAGAAUUU